This 468-nucleotide ribosomal RNA is filed under the name uncultured bacterium. Its description in RNAcentral is "partial 16S ribosomal RNA". It matches the Rfam family "Bacterial small subunit ribosomal RNA", at positions 28 to 507 of the family's 1533-position model. The record is from RNAcentral.
GACGAACGCUGGCGGCGUGCUUAACACAUGCAAGUCGAACGGAAAGGCCCUGCUUUUGUGGGGUGCUCGAGUGGCGAACGGGUGAGUAACACGUGAGUAACCUGCCCUUGACUUUGGGAUAACUUCAGGAAACUGGGGCUAAUACCGGAUAGGAGCUCCUGCUGCAUGGUGGGGGUUGGAAAGAUUCGGCGGUUGGGGAUGGACUCGCGGCUUAUGAGCUUGUUGGUGGGGUAGUGGCUUACCAAGGCUUUGACGGGUAGCCGGCCUGAGAGGGUGACCGGCCACAUUGGGACUGAGAUACGGCCCAGAAUCCUACGGGAGGCAGCAGUGGGGAGUAUUGCACAAUGGGCGGAAGCCUGAUGCAGCAACGCCGCGUGCGGGAUGACGGCCUUCGGGUUGUAAACCGCUUUCGCCUGUGACGAAGCGUGAGUGACGGUAAUGGGUAAAGAAGCACCGGCUAACUACGUG